ACGGGGUGCAGCAGGCGCGAAAACUUUGCAAUGUGCGAAAGCACGACAAGGUUAAUCCGAGUGGUUUGUGCUAAACGAACCUUUUGUUAGUCCUAGAAACACUAACGAAUAAGGGGUGGGCAAGUUCUGGUGUCAGCCGCCGCGGUAAAACCAGCACCUCAAGUGGUCAGGAUGAUUAUUGGGCCUAAAGCAUCCGUAGCCGGCUCUGUAAGUUUUCGGUUAAAUCUGUACGCUCAACGUACAGGCUGCCGGGAAUACUGCAGAGCUAGGGAGUGGGAGAGGUAGACGGUACUCGGGAGGAAGUGGUAAAAUGCUUUGAUCUUUCGAUGACCACCUGUGGCGAAGGCGGUCUACCAGAACACGUCCGACGGUGAGGGAUGAAAGCUGGGGGAGCAAACCGGAUUAGAUACCCGGGUAGUCCCAGCUGUAAACUAUGCAAACUCAGUGAUGCAUUGGCUUGUGGCCAAUGCAGUGUUGCAGGGAAGCCGUUAAGUUUGCCGCCUGGAAGUACGUACGCAAGUA
Molecule: ribosomal RNA, 522 nt
Filed under: uncultured archaeon
Lineage: Archaea
Description: bacterial SSU rRNA
Rfam family: Archaeal small subunit ribosomal RNA
Source: RNAcentral